GAAUGAUUUUUUUUGUUGUUGUUGGGGGAAAGGGUAUUUCUACAAGUUACCUCAAAAAGAACAUGCAUAAAUACAGUUCACACGUGAGAGAGAAUUUUUAUGAUUCUGUGUGUGUUUAUUUUUUUUAAUACAUUUUGCUGUAGUUUUAUAUACUCUGGACCAAAGUAGUGACAAAAGGUGAAAUAUUGGGAUCAAGACUUCUGGCACUUCUGUGUUUCAGUGUAAACCACGUCUUGUUUUAUUUAUUACUUGCUGAGGUGCCUGAACAGAACAGUGACUAGGUCAUAAGAAGAGAGAGUUGUGACUGUUGAGGCUGUGUGAUGCUGAGGUCUUGGCUGCUGGAAAACUCAGCAGUGUGUUACUAGUUCAUUGUUUAACAUCUGAUUUGGGCUUCUCUCUAAAUUCAAUUGUAAUGUAUCUUGUGUCAUAUACAUGUCUCAGAGAAAUGUUAAUGCUAUUCAGUAAGGGAUACAUCCAGAGAGGGUGAAAUAUUAAAAAGAAAAUAUUCCAAAUACUUUGUGCUGCUGUAACAACAUAACUGUCCAAGAAUUGUCCUCUGUAGAGGUUCUAGGGACCCACCCAUUGCCAUUUGCGAAUAUUUUCCUUGACUUUGUCACUGAUAACUAAACCUGUGUUGUACACAGGAAGAGAAGUACCAGCAAUAAGCUUGUACCCGUGAUGAAGUCUUUUGCUGGAUUCUGUAGGCUUUGUUGUUGUAGUUGUGGUCAAUAUUUCAGAGAUUCGAUUACAAACUAAUGCAUGUUUCUUCUCAGUUGUUUCAGAUAGCUCUGGGUUAGAGAUUUUAUCUCAUAAAUCAUCAGUCAAGAUGAAAGAAAAUGUAUGAAUUGUUCAAGGUGACAAGGAGGAAAAACAGGAUACCAGAUCAAUAAAACAUUCUCUUGCUAGCAGGGCAAGACAGAGAGGGGGAGAGCCCUGCGCCAAUAAGAUAUAUUUUGCCAAUCCUUUGUUACGUAAAUUCAGAAAGCAUUGUUCUCCUUCUAUUCAAACUCAUACUGUGAAAACUGGAGCCUGGAGAUUAAGGAGACACUAUACCUAAAUGUAGAAAAGUAGUUUUCUAAAUGGCCUCUCUAGUUUUUUACAAGUGUUUUGUCACAUUUCUCUUAGCUGUUUUAUGCAAAGAUAUUGUUAACAUAGCUGGAAUAGAUUCAGAGCAUUUUCUAAUGAUUAUUGCCAGGUGCAGGUGAUCUGAAUUGAGGCAGGUGACUGUAAAAAUGCAAGAUUAUUUUUGGCUUCCAGAUGUUUGCCUUGAUUACUUGCCUUGAUUUGAGAAGGGUAUGAUGGCAACCUUUUUAUUCAGUAGUGCUUUUGAUUUAUUUAUUUUUUUGUCUUUGAUCACUAAACAUACAAGUUAAUUCAAAGUGGUUGGGGAAAAGGCAUUUGAGGUGGUAUGGAUGUGUAGGGAACCUGUAAGAUUUUUCUGAGAAUACUUAAAGGGGGAAGUGUAACUUCUUGCAAGAUGUUUUGUGAAUAUCACUUUAAGUUACACAGUUGAGGUACAUUUUGGGUAUUGCAUAGUAGCAAGGCCAGUGAAAAUUUAACGCAGUUUAGCUAUUUUUACAAUUAUGAACUUUGUUCCUGACGAUAAGAUCAAUAUGAAUAGCAUCUGGCUUAACACCUGUUGCCAGUUUCUUUGUAAGUGAACAGACACGUCCCUGCUUGUAAGACACUGCCCUGAUUUAACACUUGUUUGAACUAUUGUUCAGAAUACUGCUUAAGACAGCUACUAAAUCACAUUGAUCCAGUUUAGGGGAAGAACUUUUUUUAUUUAUACAUCAUGGUGGGAAAAUGUAUGGAAUUCUGUUACUUGCCAUUAAGAAACUCUGAGAUCAGGCUAGAUGAUCAUGCUUUAGUUUUAAGACAUUAUUUCUAAAACUGAACGUUUGUAACAGUGCCUUUAGAAUAUAAGGUGGGAAAGUGCAGCCUAGUUGUUAGUAACUGUUAGAGCUUACAUAAAAUGCCAUUCACAGCUUCAGGUAUCUCCAAAGAAAUGCAUUCCUGGAGUCUCUAAAUGCUGUGGUGGGACAUGGAUGAAGAGUGCUGGUAUUCAUUUGAAGAGCUUAGCAUAUAUUUUAAACUAAAUAUCCUUGCAAUGCUUUAAUGGCCCUUUUUCCCCCCUUUUGUGCUCUGUGUCCUUAACGUAUCAGCAGUCACAAAUGCACUUUAUAUAGGAUUGUGGGACAAACAUAAAUAGGAAAUUGGUAGCUUUGCAUUCAAGUUUUACAGUACAGACAGACAGCUGGCAUUGCUAUGCAGGAGAUUGGGUUGAAUGGGUGCUUUUAGGAAAUACUUGAUUGUCUUAGUACAGGUGGUAAAUUGUUUGCCUGCCUUCUAUUCACUGAGGAGGGUGAAAAGAAGCUGUAUGCUCUGAUAUCUAAAACCUUACUCCUUACAUUGUGUGGUGUUUAACAUGCAAUAUGGAGAAAGGAUUCUGAGUUUCAUCUUUUUUUUUUUUUUUUUCCUCUAUUUACACAAAGUUUUGGAAGCAUUUCACUUUCCUAAAGUUUGCUAGUAGCCUUCAGACUAAUGGGAAGAGCAAUCACUGUGCUCUAAAAUGAUUAACAUCUGUUAAUGGUCUAGUUUUAUAUUGGUUAGGAAUUUAGCAUCUGACAAUCAUGUUUCUGAGGGUUUUAAAAUCCAUUUGUCCAUCUUUUUUGGAAAACUUCCUCCUGGGCCGAGUUAGCAGGGUUCUUCCAUUGAGAUGAGUCAUAAUGUAAUAGAGUUUUGCCAGUUUAAUUUAAAAUAGGGGAAGG
Long non-coding RNA from Oxyura jamaicensis (ruddy duck), 2771 nucleotides. RefSeq lists it as uncharacterized. The transcript has 2 exons. The record is from RefSeq and is a predicted model, not a curated record. Lineage: Eukaryota; Metazoa; Chordata; Aves; Anseriformes; Anatidae.